UCUGGCGGCGCACAUAAGACAUGCAAGUCGAACGAACUUAAUCGUUAUUUUACUAGUGGAGCGGUUAGUGGCGGACUGGUGAGUAACACGUAAGCAACCUGUCUAUUAGAGGGGAACAACAGUUAGAAAUGACUGCUAAUACCGCAUAUGCCAUAAGUAUCGCAUGAUACAAGUGGGAAAGGAGCAAUCCACUAAUAGAUGGGCUUGCGUCUGAUUAGAUAGUUGGUGGGGUAACGGCCUACCAAGUCGACGAUCAGUAGCCGAGUUGAGAGACUCUACGGCCACAUUGGGACUGAGAUACGGCCCAGACUCCUACGGGAGGCAGCAGUCGGGAAUAUUGCGCAAUGGAGGAAACUCUGACGCAGUGACGCCGCGUGCAGGAAGAAGGUUUUCGGAUUGUAAACUGCUUUAGACAGGGAAGAAAAAGACAGUACCUGUAGAAUAAGCUCCGGCUAACUACGUGCCAGCAGCCGCGGUAAUACGUAGGGAGCAAGCGUUAUCCGGAUUUAUUGGGUGUAAAGGGUGCGUAGACGGGAAAAUAAGUUAGUUGUGAAAUCCCCAUGCUUAACAUGGGAACUGCAACUAAAACUGUUUUUCUUGAGUGCUGGAGAGGAAAGUGGAAUUCCUAGUGUAGCGGUGAAAUGCGUAGAUAUUAGGAGGAACACCAGUGGCGAAGGCGACUUUCUGGACAGUAACUGACGUUGAGGCACGAAAGUGUGGGGAGCAAACAGGAUUAGAUACCCUGGUAGUCCACACCGUAAACGAUGG
Molecule: ribosomal RNA, 768 nt
Filed under: uncultured bacterium
Lineage: Bacteria
Description: bacterial SSU rRNA
Rfam family: Bacterial small subunit ribosomal RNA
Source: RNAcentral